UAUGUUGCCCCUCCAUUUUUUUAUUGCCUUAAAUGCACUUCCAUAUAAUAGCAAAUAAAUUAACAAAAGGUGGAUUUAUACAGACAAAUAAAAGUAGAAAUAAACAUAAAAUUUAAAAUUUCACCAACUUGAAAGGUAUUUCCGGUAUUUCUUAUUUUAUAUUAUUCACUACAUUUAACUUUUAGUUUUAUUUAAUUUACUUGUAUAAUUUCACCCAAAAUUAAUAAAGUUUUACAAUACUAAUGAAAAAACGACACUUUAAAACAACACACAACUUGCCGAACAGUAUUCUAACCUAACUAACUUAUGACUAACUUCACCAAGCGCAUGUCAAAAAAGAAGGAUCAUUAGUUGCAUACCCGGGGCUAGACGCCAGUGCUGUUGACUCGCUGAUGCACUGGAGGUUGUUUAAUUGAUAAAAUAGGUGUAAAAAAUAUGCGGGACGAGAUUUUUCUUUUUUUUUUUGGGUUUUGGUUUAUAGAUCAUAUUUUUAAUAGAUUAUUUAAUUUCCUUUGGAGCUCUGCAGCACUGCAGCACACAUAGACCAGCCGCCACUGAUACAAGAUGUUCCAAAUUCAAGAGUAAAUACAAGGCAAGAAACUUGGAGUCUUUUAUUUGAAACGAAAGUCAGUAAAAUUGUUACAUGAGUUUUCAAAAUAUUUAGAUUUUGGUAAUAGUUUUGGGUACUCUCCGUAAAAAAUCUAUAAGAGGUAAUUAGUACAUAUGAAUUAUUUUUCUCUAGGCAGAGUUAAAAGCUGCCAUAUCCCUUAUUUUUCUUAUUAGCUUUUGAUGUGUUUGUGGCAAAUGAAAUUUCAAAUAUAAUAAUCUUUCUUAAUCUAAUCUCCAUACAUUAUUUUGUACAAUAUAUUUAUUUAUUUAUUUAAACUUCAAUAGGUCUUCAGUUAUAGGUCAAUAAAGGCAGUACUAAGAUACAUACCAAAAUAAAAUAAGACUGAAAGACUAGAACAGAGGAUUAUAAAAUUAAUUGAAUUCCACACUAAGUAGUUUUUCUUUAAGAGUUAAAACAUUUAUAUUAAAAAUAUCACAGAUUUGGAUCACUUUAUUGCACAACACCCAUCUGAGGACAUUAAAAUCUAUUCUAUUAAAUUAAUUCAGAUUACUAUAUUUUUCGUUUUCACUAUACAGUAUAAGCUCGGUGGCGUAAACACUCGUAUAUACGAGCAACUCGGUUUUGUGAAUAAAAUAUUUUUUGUAUUAGGUACUCUAUAGUGUGAACAGAAGUCUGCUCGAUAAUGUGAACAAUUAAACAAUACGUUUUUAAACGAUUUUUGAGCCAAUAUGCCAGUAAUAUUUUGACUGUCUCGCUGGUUUUUGACUUGUCGUAGCAUGUUUGCAUGGUUCACGGCGUUUAUAUGGCUUUUAUUCUUCAGUUUUCAGUUGACUUUAAACGCCUGUACAUUCGGUAACAACCUUUCUUUGCACGAUUCUCAAAAUGGGCAAAACUGUGCAAAAAAAAACAAUAAAACAAAAAAAACAUUACACUACAACAAAAAGCAAAUAUUAUUCAAGAACAUCGAAAAGGUGUGUCAGUUACUAUACUGGCUAGAAAAUACGGAGUUGCUAAAUCAACAAUUUGUUCGAUCAAGAAGAAAAGGGAGAAGAUUCUUGAAAGGGUAACCAACUCAUUAGGACCAAACAAAAAGUGUACGUUAAAAUCUUGUGAGUACCCAGAAAUGGAAAAACAGUUGUACAAAUGGUUCCUUACUCAAAGAGAACAAAAUCUUUCAAUAAGCAGCGAUAUAUUAAAACAAAAAGCAAUCAGAAUUUUUGGAAAUGUAUAUCCUGCGACAAUGAAGUUUAGUGCAAGUGAUGGAUGGCUGCAACGUUUUAAAGUCCAUCAUGGAAUACGAUUUCUAAAAAUAUCCGGUGAGAAAUUAUCAUCUCAGCCGGAACUGGUUGGGCCGUUUAAAGAACAAUUAAAAAAAGUUAUUGAUGAGCAACGGGUGACCUUCUUAGGAUGUACAAAUGCUACAGGUUGUUUCAAAUUAAAACCGCUGGUGCUUGGAAAAUCAAAAAAUCCCCGCUGUUUUAAGCACUUUAGAAAUCCGGUCAUUUAUAAAAAUUCCAAAAACGCAUGGAUGACUGCAGAGAUAUUUAAGUAUUGGUUUUUUACCACUUUGUUCCAGAAGUGAAGCAGUAUCUAAAAGAACAACAUCUUCCACUGAAAGCUAUUCUACUCUUGGAUAACGCUCUCCUCCAGCAGACACAUUAAAAACAGAUGACGGAAACAUAUUUGCUAUGUUUAUGCCUCCUAAUGUGACCCCGCUAAUCCAGCCGAUGGAUCAAAACGCUCUGAGACUCACAAAACUAUAUUACAGGAAGAGUUUACUAACUUCAAUUGUGGCAACUGAUGAACAUGUAAUCGAUUCAUUAAAAAAACUUACACUAAAAGACGCCAUGUUGCAUUUGCAUAGUGCUUGGCAAAAAAUUACACCUAGAACCUUAUCUAAAUGUUGGUAUCCUGUACUGUCAAAAAAUACAGAAUAUACAGAUGAAGAUUCCAUACCAUUAAGCGAACUUAAAAAAAUUUGGGAAGACGAAGAGGCUGAUCAAGUUGUUUCGGAGACUCUGAGUUUACUAAGGGAGGUUCACGAGGCUGAAUAUACGACAAACGAUAUCACUGAAUGGAAUAAGGAUGAUGCUGGCAUUAACCUUAAUGAUGAUCCAAAUGAUAAUGCUGUUUCGGAAGAAGAAGACGACUGUCAGGUCAUUGAAGAUCCAAAGCCUAAAAUAAGAUAUUCUGAAGCCAUUGAAGCAUUAAAGCUAUGCAUGCAAUUGGCACAGGAAAACUUUGUUAAUAUUGACCUUAAUUUGUUAAUAUUGCCUUAAAAAACUUUAUGAAAAAGCUGUAAUUAUAAAUACAAUAUCUAAAACGAAGCAAUUAAAAAUUACUUCUUUUUUUAAAUAAAUUUUGUAGGUAUUUUUUAAUACAUAGGUAUUAUAAAUAAUACAUACUAAGUAAAUAAACAAAGGCUUGAAACUUAUAAUUUAGUCUCUUUACAAAAAAAAAACAUAAUAAUCAUCCUCAUCCCAUAAUGUGAACAAUCGGUAGUAUGAAGUAGGGUUGGUUUUUUUGUGUUCAUGUUACCGAGCUUGUGCUGUAUUAUAUAUAAAAAUAACAGACUGGGCAUCUCUCUCUGAGUCUAAUUACAGAAUCCAUUUUAAACCACCUUGAGUUUCUAAUAACAAAACCCAGCGCCCUCUAUAUGCUUUUUUAAUAAUAAUUAUUUCCUGGUGCUUAUUAAAUUUUAGGUUUGAUUGCAAAUAAACCCUCAAGUUCUGGCAUUCAGUCUUUCUACUAAUAUUAUUUAAUUUAUAAUAUAGGGCUAUUUUUUCAGGUAAAGCUAAUUACAUGACACUUGCUGAUAUUAAGAUACAUUUUAUGGUCAACAAACCAUUUGUUGAUAUGUAAAUCCUUCUGUAAAUCUUUAGAAUCAUUAAGUUUAAAUAUUUUAAUCAGCAAAAACUAGGCUUUGGGAAAAUUGAACACACUCAGGUAGAUUGUUAAUGAAAAUUGCAAACAGUAAAGGGCCAAGAUUACUACCCUGAGGCACUUCCGAUGUAGUAACAAACGUAUUUGAAAAUUAUUUUCAUACUUUUACUGAUACUUGAUAGGACUGCAUAGGCCACAUGCCAAUUAAGAAAAGCCAAUUGCACAUAAUUUAUCAAUUAAUCAACGCUGUCAAAUGCCUUCGCACAGUCAGUAUAACAACAUCUAGUUGAGCCUUAUUAUUACAAACUGCCUCCGAGGCAUUAUCAGUCAAUAUUCAAAAGUUUGUUACAGUGGACCUGCUAGGUAAAAACCCAUGUUGUUGAAUAGCAAAUUUGUUAUUAAAAGUUUUUAAUAUAUCAUUUAAUUUUUGCUAUUGCAUACAAAACACUAACUGCUCUAUAAUUUUGCACUGAAUUUAUAUCACCAGAACCUUUAUAAAUUGGAGUGAUGAUUGCUGUCUUAAGUUCAUUGGGAAAUUGAUUAUUUUUAACUGCAUUAUUAAACAUUUUUGCCAGGGGUUGAGAGAGAAAAUCAACACAUCUCUUAC
Molecule: long non-coding RNA, 4061 nt
Filed under: Anthonomus grandis grandis
Lineage: Eukaryota; Metazoa; Arthropoda; Insecta; Coleoptera; Curculionidae
Description: uncharacterized LOC126736753
Source: RNAcentral